CAGCAGCCACGGUAAUACGGAGGGUGCAAGCGUUAUCCGGAUUUAUUGGGUUUAAAGGGUCCGUAGGCGGACUUAUAAGUCAGUGGUGAAAGCCUGUCGCUUAACGAUAGAACUGCCAUUGAUACUGUAAGUCUUGAGUAUAUUUGAGGUAGCUGGAAUAAGUAGUGUAGCGGUGAAAUGCAUAGAUAUUACUUAGAACACCAAUUGCGAAGGCAGGUUACCAAGAUAUAACUGACGCUGAGGGACGAAAGCGUGGGUAGCGAACAGGAUUAGAUACCCGUGUAGUCCCUGUCUCUUAUAC
Molecule: ribosomal RNA, 301 nt
Filed under: uncultured bacterium
Lineage: Bacteria
Description: partial 16S ribosomal RNA
Rfam family: Bacterial small subunit ribosomal RNA
Source: RNAcentral